ACUAGAGGACUAAGAAGGCUGAUUCUGAUGAAGCAAGAGUCUGCUGAUACACUCCUAAAAAGUGGGGGGGGGGGGGGGGGUUGAAGAAAACAGCCCUUAGUAGAAAAUAUCAGAGGACUGACCAUACUACCCAACAUUC
This 139-nucleotide small nucleolar RNA is filed under the name Erinaceus europaeus (western European hedgehog). Its description in RNAcentral is "Small Cajal body specific RNA 4". It matches the Rfam family "Small Cajal body specific RNA 4". Rfam says of the family: scaRNAs are a specific class of small nuclear RNAs which localise to the Cajal bodies and guide the modification of RNA polymerase II transcribed spliceosomal RNAs U1, U2, U4, U5 and U12. ACA26 belongs to the H/ACA box class of guide RNAs as it has the predicted hairpin-hinge-hairpin-tail structure, conserved H/ACA-box motifs and is found associated with GAR1. Its is predicted to guide the pseudouridylation of residues U39 and U41 in U2 snRNA. Lineage: Eukaryota; Metazoa; Chordata; Mammalia; Eulipotyphla; Erinaceidae. The record is from Rfam by way of RNAcentral.